Molecule: ribosomal RNA, 492 nt
Filed under: uncultured bacterium
Lineage: Bacteria
Description: partial 16S ribosomal RNA
Rfam family: Bacterial small subunit ribosomal RNA
Source: RNAcentral
AUUGAACGCUGGCGGCAUGCUUUACACAUGCAAGUCGAGCGGUAACAGGCCUUCGGGUGCUGACGAGUGGCGAACGGGUGAGUAAUGCAUCGGGACGUACCCAGAGGUGGGGGAUAACGCAGCGAAAGCUGUGCUAAUACCGCAUGUGAUCUGAGGAUGAAAGCGGGGGACCGAGCAGCAAUGUUUGGCCUCGCGCCUUUGGAGCGGCCGAUGUCGGAUUAGCUAGUUGGUGGGGUAAAGGCCUACCAAGGCGACGAUCCGUAGCUGGUCUGAGAGGACGACCAGCCACACUGGGACUGAGACACGGCCCAGACUCCUACGGGAGGCAGCAGUGGGGAAUUUUGGACAAUGGGCGCAAGCCUGAUCCAGCAAUGCCGCGUGCGGGAAGAAGGCCUUCGGGUUGUAAACCGCUUUUGGCAGGAACGAAACGGUGUCCGCUAAUACCGGGCGCUAAUGACGGUACCUGCAGAAUAAGCACCGGCUAACUACGUG